GGAAACAUGGCUUAGUGGCAGAGUCUUUGCUCUCCAUGCAGAAGGUUUGUGGUUCAAUCCCUGACAUCUCCA
Molecule: transfer RNA, 72 nt
Filed under: Sphaerodactylus townsendi
Lineage: Eukaryota; Metazoa; Chordata; Lepidosauria; Squamata; Sphaerodactylidae
Description: tRNA-Gly
Source: RNAcentral